UCUCAGUUUGCACUGGCAGUCUCGUUAGAGUUCCCGACUUCACUCGCUGGCAACUAACGACAGGGGUUGCGCUCGUUAUAGGACUUAACCUGACACCUCACGGCACGAGCUGACGACAACCAUGCAGCACCUUGUAAGUUGUCUUGCGAAAGUUCUGUUUCCAAAACGGUCAACCUACAUUUAAGCCUUGGUAAGGUUCCUCGCGUAUCAUCGAAUUAAACCACAUGCUCCACCGCUUGUGCGGGCCCCCGUCAAUUCCUUUGAGUUUCAAACUUGCGUUCGUACUCCCCAGGUGGGAUACUUAUCACUUUCGCUUAGCCACUCAGGUUGCCCCGAACAGCAAGUAUCCAUCGUUUACGGCGUGGACUAC
RNAcentral lists this unclassified non-coding RNA (370 nucleotides) under uncultured Flavobacteriaceae bacterium. RNAcentral describes it as "contains 16S-23S intergenic spacer region". Lineage: Bacteria; Pseudomonadati; Bacteroidota; Flavobacteriia; Flavobacteriales; Flavobacteriaceae. The record is from RNAcentral.